AUGCAAGGCGCCGCCGUCGAUGGGAGGAGCAGGGCUUUGCCGGACAAGGCCGACACGAGCUCCAAGAAGGCGCGGCAGGACCUGCCCGACGGCCACAUGAAGCAAGAGGCGGCCGGUGGAGGAGACGGAGGCGCCAUCGUCACGGCGGCGUACAACCCGCGAGUGGAACUCGCCGUGAGGAUCGACAAGCAAGUGCUCCACUGCCCCCUCUGCACCCUCCCCUUCAAGCCCCCCGUCUUCCAGUGCAAAGCGGGGCACCCGGCCUGCGGCGGCUGCGUGGCCCAGCUGCCCUUCGGGCAGUGCAUGGCGUGCGUGGACAGUGGUGGCUUCUUCGACCCCUGCCCUGCGCUGGACGCCGUGGUGUCCUCCACCAGGAUCGGGUGCCCCAACGCCGGCUGCCAGUGGUACGUGACCUACCACGAGGUCGCCGAGCACCAGAAAGCAUGCCCGCACACGCCCUGCCACUGCACGGAGCCCGGCUGCGGCUAUGUCGGCGCACCACAGGCGCUCGCCGGCCACAUCAACACCGUCCACUCGGCGCCGUUGCGUGCCGUGCAGUACGGCAAGGUCAGCCAGCUCCAGCUGCCGGUGUCGACCCCGCGGCUGGUGCUCCUCGGUGACGACAACCGCGUGUUCCUCCUGACCGUGGGCGCGCUCGGCGCCGGUGCGGCCGUCGUGUCCGUGGUGUGCGCCAGGGCUAGGGCGGCGACGCGGCCCCGGUUCACGUGCAAGAUGUGGGUCAACCUGGGGCCGCCCCCGGCGGCGGCGGCGAACUGCGGCAAGGAGGACAUGGUGCUGGUGGACAUGCACAUCAGGAGCAGCUCGUCGCCCGGCGCGGUGGCCGCCGCGGACGAGCCAACGUUCCUGCCGGUGCCGCGGAUGUACCUGGUUCCAGCAGCAGCAAGGGACGGGACGUCCAUGGAAGUUCCCCUGCACAUCCGCAUCGACAAGCUCUCCCCUUUGUCCGACGCAUUGGUUUGA
RNAcentral lists this ribosomal RNA (981 nucleotides) under Triticum aestivum (bread wheat). Its description in RNAcentral is "partial small subunit ribosomal RNA". The record is from RNAcentral. Lineage: Eukaryota; Viridiplantae; Streptophyta; Magnoliopsida; Poales; Poaceae.